GUAUGAGAGGGUGAUCUGGCUCCAACAUCUGUCACCCCAUUGAUAACCAAGGUUGAUUUAGCUGAUCUGGCUGGCUAGGUGGGUGUCCCCUUCCUCCCUCACCACUCCUGCUGCCCUCCCGAAGCUGCCACUUGGUCUAAGAGGAUGGCUUUCCCUAGAAUAGAGACAGACCAGUCUUCUGUUGAGAGUAUACAAGUAGCUCAGUUCCCCUGCUAGAACCUCCAAACAAGAUCUCAAUGUCCUUAAAACUGUCUAACAGAAAAACAUUGGGAAAAUUUUCAUACAGUGUUAUAAAGAGAAUGAGAUGGAGUAGCAUGUUCUAGUGU
Molecule: small nuclear RNA, 326 nt
Filed under: Erinaceus europaeus (western European hedgehog)
Lineage: Eukaryota; Metazoa; Chordata; Mammalia; Eulipotyphla; Erinaceidae
Description: 7SK RNA
Rfam family: 7SK RNA
About the family: 7SK was discovered as an abundant small nuclear RNA in the mid-70s but a possible function has only recently been suggested. Two independent studies have found that 7SK RNA binds the CDK9/cyclin T complex (known as elongation factor P-TEFb).
Source: Rfam by way of RNAcentral